UGGGGAAUAUUGCACAAUGGAGGGAACUCUGAUGCAGCGACGCCGCGUGAGUGAUGAAGGAAUUCGUUUCGUAAAACUCUGUUCUAUGGGAAGAAAAGGACUGUACCAUAGGAGAAAGCUCCGGCUAAAUACGUGCCAGCAGCCGCGGUAAUACGUAUGGAGCGAGCGUUGUCCGGAAUUAUUGGGCGUAAAGGGUGCGCAGGCGGCUUUACAAGUUGGAUGUGAAAUAUUGUGGCUCAACCACAAACGUGCAUCCAAAACUGCAAAGCUUGAGUUAAGGAGAGGUAAGGGGAAUUCCUGGUGUAGCGGUGAAAUGCGUAGAUAUCAGGAGGAAUACCGGUGGCGAAGGCGACUUACUGGACUUAAACUGACGCUCAGGCACGAAAGCGUGGGGAGCAAACAGG
RNAcentral lists this ribosomal RNA (404 nucleotides) under Fusobacteriota bacterium. Its description in RNAcentral is "Fusobacteria bacterium partial 16S ribosomal RNA". It matches the Rfam family "Bacterial small subunit ribosomal RNA", at positions 355 to 776 of the family's 1533-position model. The record is from RNAcentral. Lineage: Bacteria; Fusobacteriati; Fusobacteriota.